AGAUUGAACGCUGGCGGCGUGCUUAACACAUGCAAGUCGAGCGGUAACGCGGGAGCAAUCCUGGCGACGAGCGGCGAACGGGUGAGUAAUGCUUGGGAAUCUGCCCAUUAGUGGGGAACAACCAGCCGAAAGGUUGGCUAAUACCGCAUACGCCCUACGGGGGAAAGCGGGGGAUCGAAAGACCUCGCGCUAAUGGAUGAGCCCAAGUCGGAUUAGCUUGUUGGUAGGGUAACGGCCUACCAAGGCGACAAUCCGUAGCUGGUCUGAGAGGACGACCAGCCACACUGGGACUGAGACACGGCCCAGACUCCUACGGGAGGCAGCAGUGGGGAAUAUUGGACAAUGGGGGCAACCCUGAUCCAGCGACGCCGCGUGUGUGAGAAGGCCUGCGGGUUGUAAAGCACUUUUAGUGGGAUGAAAAGCUCAGGGUUAACACCUCUGGGUCUUGACCUAACCACAGAAAAGCACCGGCUAACUCUGUGCCAGCAGCCGCGGU
Molecule: ribosomal RNA, 496 nt
Filed under: uncultured bacterium
Lineage: Bacteria
Description: SSU rRNA
Rfam family: Bacterial small subunit ribosomal RNA
Source: RNAcentral